Molecule: ribosomal RNA, 702 nt
Filed under: uncultured Serratia sp.
Lineage: Bacteria; Pseudomonadati; Pseudomonadota; Gammaproteobacteria; Enterobacterales; Yersiniaceae
Description: bacterial SSU rRNA
Rfam family: Bacterial small subunit ribosomal RNA
Source: RNAcentral
UAGAUACCCUGGUAGUCCACGCUGUAAACGAUGUCGAUUUGGAGGUUGUGCCCUUGAGGCGUGGCUUCCGGAGCUAACGCGUUAAAUCGACCGCCUGGGGAGUACGGCCGCAAGGUUAAAACUCAAAUGAAUUGACGGGGGCCCGCACAAGCGGUGGAGCAUGUGGUUUAAUUCGAUGCAACGCGAAGAACCUUACCUACUCUUGACAUCCAGAGAACUUUCCAGAGAUGGAUUGGUGCCUUCGGGAACUCUGAGACAGGUGCUGCAUGGCUGUCGUCAGCUCGUGUUGUGAAAUGUUGGGUUAAGUCCCGCAACGAGCGCAACCCUUAUCCUUUGUUGCCAGCGGUUCGGCCGGGAACUCAAAGGAGACUGCCAGUGAUAAACUGGAGGAAGGUGGGGAUGACGUCAAGUCAUCAUGGCCCUUACGAGUAGGGCUACACACGUGCUACAAUGGCAUAUACAAAGAGAAGCGACCUCGCGAGAGCAAGCGGACCUCAUAAAGUAUGUCGUAGUCCGGAUUGGAGUCUGCAACUCGACUCCAUGAAGUCGGAAUCGCUAGUAAUCGUAGAUCAGAAUGCUACGGUGAAUACGUUCCCGGGCCUUGUACACACCGCCCGUCACACCAUGGGAGUGGGUUGCAAAAGAAGUAGGUAGCUUAACCUUCGGGAGGGCGCUUACCACUUUGUGAUUCAUGACUGGGGU